AUGCCAAGGCAAGGAGCUUCAAUGCCGUUUCUUUUAAAGAACGAAAAAGGAAAGAAAUAUGGAGGUAUUACGUGCGUGGCAGCCGUCCAUCUCGCUCGAGGUUCUAAUUCUACUACGUACUUCGAUCGAGUGAUCCGCCAUGGGCGACCACUGGUUGGCGCGUUCAGAUUUCAGAAGGAAGGGGAGGCGCGGGGCGGGCACGGCUGCGACGGCCAGAACUGCGCGGGCUUGACCUUGGAGACGCUGGUGAGCACGCCCAGCGGCGUCACGUCGCCCGCCACCGUCACCUUCUUGCUCGGGAUGUCGAUGUCGAACGACGUCACGCCCUCCAUCUUGGCGAUGUGCUUCUUCACCUUGCCCGCGCAGCCCUUGCAGUGCAGCGACACGCGCAGCACCACCACCUGCGUCGUCCUCGCUGCCGCCGUCGUCGAGGACGACCGCGCCAGCGCCGCCGCCUUGUGCUGCUCCGUGUCUUGGACGGCCGUGAUCUCUGAUGACGACGAAGCAGAGGAGGACGUCCCUGACGACGAAGACUCUGCUUGGUGCACAGUCGACGGCGGCGCGUCCUUGGCGAAGGGAGCCGGCAGGGAGGCGUCGGCCGGGAACGCGUCGAUGAAGGACGGCGGCGGAGGCUUCCCUUCGCCGCCGGGGAACGCGUCGAUGAAGGACGGCGGCGGAGGCGGGGGCAACGCGAGGACGUCGAGGUCGUCGGACUGCAGCCGGGAGGAGUUGAGGAGGAACCUGGAGGAGGUGGCCGGGCUGACCAGCCUCUUCUCCGAAGAUCUAGUACCGCCACUGAUACCAGCAGCACCAGCAGUGGUGCUCUUCUUCUUCUUCUUGGUGCCGUGGCCGUGCAGCUGGUGCUGGGAGUCCUCUGAGAGCGCCGAGUCUUUGGUGGUGCUACUGGUGCUUGGCCUUGGCGGCUUGGAGGUGGAGGAGCGGUGUGGGUCGCGGAGGCGCGGCGAGUGGCGGUCGAUGGCCCGGCCGCUGCUGCUGCCGACGCCGUUGGUGGUGGUGGUUGAGGCGAUGAUGUUGGUGGCGUCGGCGGAGGAGCAGGAGAUGGAGAUGGAGAUGGACGGCAGGCCCAGCCGCUUGUGA
RNAcentral lists this ribosomal RNA (1098 nucleotides) under Triticum aestivum (bread wheat). RNAcentral's name for it is "partial small subunit ribosomal RNA". The record is from RNAcentral. Lineage: Eukaryota; Viridiplantae; Streptophyta; Magnoliopsida; Poales; Poaceae.